CCUACGGGAGGCAGCAGUGAGGAAUAUUGGUCAAUGGGCGCGAGCCUGAACCAGCCAAGUCGCGUGAGGGAUGACGGUCCUACGGAUUGUAAACCUCUUUUGCCGGGGAGCAAGCGUGCGUUCGUGAACGCGCGUCGAGAGUACCCGGAGAAAAAGCAUCGGCUAACUCCGUGCCAGCAGCCGCGGUAAUACGGAGGAUGCGAGCGUUAUCCGGAUUUAUUGGGUUUAAAGGGUGCGUAGGCGGGAUGCCAAGUCAGCGGUAAAAAUGCGGUGCUCAACGCCGUCGAGCCGUUGAAACUGGCGUUCUUGAGUGGGCGAGAAGUAUGCGGAAUGCGUGGUGUAGCGGUGAAAUGCAUAGAUAUCACGCAGAACUCCGAUUGCGAAGGCAGCCUGCUGGGCUUUAACUGACGCUGAGGCUCGAAAGCGUGGGGAGCAAACAGGAUUAGAUACCCUUGUAGUC
This 460-nucleotide ribosomal RNA is filed under the name uncultured bacterium. RNAcentral's name for it is "partial 16S ribosomal RNA". It matches the Rfam family "Bacterial small subunit ribosomal RNA", at positions 338 to 795 of the family's 1533-position model. The record is from RNAcentral.